Molecule: ribosomal RNA, 381 nt
Filed under: uncultured eukaryote
Lineage: Eukaryota
Description: partial 18S ribosomal RNA
Rfam family: Eukaryotic small subunit ribosomal RNA
Source: RNAcentral
CAAUAGCGUAUAUUAAAGCUGUUGCGGUUAAAAAGCUCGUAGUUGGAUUUCUGUCAAGGACAACUGGUCCGCCCUCCGGGUGAGCACAUAGUUUGGUCUUGGCAUCUUGCUGGAAACUGUUGCUGCACUUGGUUGUGUGGCGCAGCAUCCAGCACUUUCACUUUGAGGAAAUUGGAGUGUUUCAAGCAGGCACAUGCCUUUGGACACAGUAGCAUGGAAUAAUUAGAUUGGGCUUUUGCUCCAAUUUGUCGGUUUCUGGAGCUGAGGUGAGAAUUAAUGGGGAUUGUUGGGGGCAUCCGAAUUUAGCCGUCAGAGGUGAAAUUCUUGGAUCUGCUAAAGACGGACAACUGCGAAAGCGUUCGCCCAGGAUGUUUUCAUUGA